GUGGGGAAUUUUGGACAAUGGGCGAAAGCCUGAUCCAGCCAUGCCGCGUGCAGGAUGAAGGCCUUCGGGUUGUAAACUGCUUUUGUACGGAACGAAAAGACUCCUUCUAAUAAAGGGGGUCCAUGACGGUACCGUAAGAAUAAGCACCGGCUAACUACGUGCCAGCAGCCGCGGUAAUACGUAGGGUGCAAGCGUUAAUCGGAAUUACUGGGCGUAAAGCGUGCACAGGCGGUUAUAUAAGACAGAUGUGAAAUCCCCGGGCUCAACCUGGGAACUGCAUUUGUGACUGUAUAGCUAGAGUACGGUAGAGGGGGAUGGAAUUCCGCGUGUAGCAGUGAAAUGCGUAGAUAUGCGGAGGAACACCGAUGGCGAAGGCAAUCCCCUGGGCCUGCACUGACGCUCAUGCACGAAAGCGUGGGGAGCAAACAGGAUUAGAUACCCGGGUAGUCC
Molecule: ribosomal RNA, 450 nt
Filed under: uncultured bacterium
Lineage: Bacteria
Description: bacterial SSU rRNA
Rfam family: Bacterial small subunit ribosomal RNA
Source: RNAcentral